AACGAACGCUGGCGGCAGGCCUAACACAUGCAAGUCGAACGCCCCGCAAGGGGAGUGGCAGACGGGUGAGUAACGCGUGGGAAACUACCUCUUGGUGCGGAAUAACUUCGGGAAACCGGUGCUAAUACCGCAUACGCCCCCCGGGGGAAAGGUUUAUCGCCGAGGGAUGGGCCCGCGUCGGAUUAGCUAUUUGGUGAGGUAAAGCCUCACCAAGGCGACGAUCCGUAGCUGGUCUGAGAGGAUGAUCAGCCACGCUGGGAUUGGGACACGGCCCGGACUCCUACGGGAGGCAGCAGUGGGGAAUAUUGGACAAUGGGCGCAAGCCUGAUCCAUCCAUGCCGCGUGAGUGAAGAAGGCCUUAGGGUUGUAAAGCUCUUUCGACGGGGAAGAUAAUGACGGUACCCGUAGAAGAAGCCCCGGCUAACUCGUGCCAGCAGCCGCAGUAA
Molecule: ribosomal RNA, 446 nt
Filed under: uncultured bacterium
Lineage: Bacteria
Description: partial 16S ribosomal RNA
Rfam family: Bacterial small subunit ribosomal RNA
Source: RNAcentral